AAAGUGUUUCACUGUCUACAAAAUCAUUGAAGAGGAACCAAAAAAAAAAGAUGGUUCUGCUAGAGAAGCUUUGGGAUGAUGUUGUGGCUGGACCUCAGCCUGACCGUGGCCUUGGCCGCCUCCGUAAGAUCACCACCCAACCCAUUAAUAUCAGAGAUAUAGGAGAAGGGAGCAGUAAGGUGAUGCAUAGGUCGUUGACCAUGCCGGCGGCAGUUAGCCCCGGAACUCCGACGACUCCGACGACUCCGACCACUCCACGUAAGGAUAACGUGUGGAGGAGUGUCUUUAAUCCGGGAAGCAACCUCGCCACUAGAGCUAUCGGCUCCAACAUCUUCGAUAAACCAACCCAUCCAAAUUCUCCCUCCGUCUACGACUGCGUUGAUAACGAAGCUCAAAGGAAGGAACAUGUGGCACUGUGUUUAGUGGGCGCUUGGAUUAAAUGACUAUUUUUAUUCUGGUUUUACCAAAUCAACCUUCCUUUUUGUGCAUAUAUGGUUGUACAGUAGUGAGUCAAGGAGUCAGCACCAUUAAGGAUGGUCCGAUGGAGUGUGACAUGCGGGUGAUGUAAAUACGGUGACCAGAUCUUUCGCCACGUGUCUGUUUAGUUACUUUUUACUAUUUACCUUAGUUUUUUUUUACUGUUUUUGUGUACUUUAUCAGAGUGGAUAAAGUGACGGGGGAUGUUUUUCUUUUGUGCAUAAAACUGUCUCCCACCUGGCACCUACGCAAUGUGUGUUCGUUUCUGUUUUGGGCUGUGUUUUGCAAGUUUUUUCUUUUUGUAUUUUAGAGUUGUGUAGUGUAGUUGCAAGUGGCGGUUGGAUCUUUCACUAUCUUGUUGGAUUUUGAUGAUGGUUGAUGCGUUUGCUUUAAUGUUCAAUAAAUAAGCAUAUUUUUGCUAGUUA
Molecule: RNA transcript, 902 nt
Organism: Arabidopsis lyrata subsp. lyrata
Lineage: Eukaryota; Viridiplantae; Streptophyta; Magnoliopsida; Brassicales; Brassicaceae
Gene name: dormancy-associated protein 1
Exons: 4
Source: RefSeq, a predicted model, not a curated record